This is a long non-coding RNA of Oreochromis niloticus (Nile tilapia), 800 nucleotides long. RefSeq lists it as uncharacterized. The transcript has 2 exons. The record is from RefSeq and is a predicted model, not a curated record. Lineage: Eukaryota; Metazoa; Chordata; Actinopteri; Cichliformes; Cichlidae.
ACAAAAAAUGACAAAAGAUAAAACUUGUAAAUUACCUUUAAGAUUGUGACACACACAUUUUUAUCACCCCAGUUUUACUACAUUCUGUUACAGUGUUUGAAAUAUUAAUAAGAUCACCUGAUUGGUUAAAUACCAAUGUUUACACCACCACCAUUUACUUCUUUUUCUUAAAACAGCUGAUGAUUGCUCACGAUAACAAGAAAACUGCAGAUGCACUCUCUACUCACAGUGCACAACCAGUAUCACCUUUUAAUAUUAUCUGUGUCACGGAUCCGGCUCUGGGGACUCGGGGUCCGUGGGCAGUGGGGACUAAGACGAUUAUUAUUAGUAGUAGUAUUAUCAUUAUUAGGAUUAUUGUCUUUAUUAUUAUUAUUUGGUGUGUCGUCUGCACUGCCUCUGAUCUCUGUCCUCAUCUGUAUGUAGGCAGGUUUGUGUGUGUUUGUGUGUUGCUGUUUUCUGUGGCCAAGUUACAGGCAUCUUCAGGCCUGAGGGGCGUGGCCUGGCUUGAGGACUGGCCACACCCGAAGCCCUUGCCACACACCUGCUCCUCAUCUGGGCUCGUUGGGGGAGCUAUUUAGAGGAGUGAUGGAGUUUCCACCGAUGCUGGAUUAUUGCGUUUGACUUCACGAGGAAUGUGGGACGAGAAGGAGCAGUGAGCACAGGGAGUGCAGGGACACUGGAGCAGAGAGCACUACACUAGGACUUUUCUGGGAGGAAGACACAACACGGGAGUCUGGGAAACUGGGGAAUUUAUUGUUGUUUACUUCACCACCUCUGUAAAUAAACACUGUUGCACUGAA